Molecule: non-coding RNA, 207 nt
Organism: Cherax quadricarinatus
Lineage: Eukaryota; Metazoa; Arthropoda; Malacostraca; Decapoda; Parastacidae
Source: RefSeq, a predicted model, not a curated record
AUUACAACUCUGGAUCUUUAAGCUAGACUAUGAGAACAUGGAGAAGAUUGACUCGAUCACCCGUGUCUCGAAGGUGGACUUCGAGGAGCUGUCUAAUAACAUUGCCAAGAUAGAGGUCGACUGUAAAGAAUCAUGGGAUCAUCUAAAAGCCAUUGUAAAACAUGAUGGUCCUACACACAUUAAGCUCAAUGUGUUCCAGUGAACCAG